CCUACGGGUGGCAGCAGUAGGGAAUAUUGCUCAAUGGGGGAAACCCUGAAGCAGCAACGCCGCGUGGAGGAUGAAGGUUUUCGGAUUGUAAACUUUUUUUGUAAGAGAAGAUAAUGACGGUAUGUAACGAAUACACACCGGCUAACUCCGUGCCAGCAGCCGCGGUAAUACGGAGGGGACAAGCGCUCCUCGGAAUCACAGGGCGGAAAGAGCGCGUAGGCAGGAUAGCAAGUCAGAUGUGAAAUGCCAUGGCUUAACCAUAGAACUGCAUUUGAAACUGUUAUCCUAGAGUGUGGGAGAGGUAGGUGGAAUUCUUGGUGUAGGGGUAAAAUCCGUAGAGAUCAAGAGGAAUACUGAUUGCGAAGGCGACCUGCUAGAACAUAACUGACGCUGAGGCGCGAAAGCGUGGGGAGCAAACAGGAUUAGAUACCCCUGUAGUC
This 440-nucleotide ribosomal RNA is filed under the name uncultured bacterium. RNAcentral describes it as "partial 16S ribosomal RNA". It matches the Rfam family "Bacterial small subunit ribosomal RNA", at positions 338 to 795 of the family's 1533-position model. The record is from RNAcentral.